UACGAAGGGGGCUAGCGUUGCUCGGAAUUACUGGGCGUAAAGGGAGCGUAGGCGGACAUUUAAGUCAGAGGUGAAAUCCCGGAGCUUAACUUCGGAACUGCCUUUGAUACUGGAUGUCUUGAGUGUGAGAGAGGUAUGUGGAACUCCGAGUGUAGAGGUGAAAUUCGUAGAUAUUCGGAAGAACACCAGUGGCGAAGGCGACAUACUGGCUCAUUACUGACGCUGAGGCUCGAAAGCGUGGGGAGCAAACAGGAUUAGAUACCCUGGUAGUCCACGCCGUAAACGAUGAUUGCUAGUUGUCGGGAAGCUUGCUUCUCGGUGACGCAGCUAACGCAUUAAGCAAUCCGCCUGGGGAGUACGGUCGCAAGAUUA
This 372-nucleotide ribosomal RNA is filed under the name uncultured prokaryote. RNAcentral describes it as "bacterial SSU rRNA". It matches the Rfam family "Bacterial small subunit ribosomal RNA", at positions 524 to 896 of the family's 1533-position model. The record is from RNAcentral.